Molecule: ribosomal RNA, 460 nt
Filed under: uncultured bacterium
Lineage: Bacteria
Description: partial 16S ribosomal RNA
Rfam family: Bacterial small subunit ribosomal RNA
Source: RNAcentral
CCUACGGGUGGCAGCAGUGAGGAAUAUUGGUCAAUGGACGCAAGUCUGAACCAGCCAAGCCGCGUGAAGGAAGACGGCUCUAUGAGUUGUAAACUUCUUUUAUACAGGGGUAAAACGAGACACGUGUAUCGGUUUGAACGUAUCUUACGAAUAAGGAUCGGCUAACUCCGUGCCAGCAGCCGCGGUAAUACGGAGGAUUCAAGCGUUAUCCGGAUUUACUGGGUGUAAAGGGUGCGUAGGCGGGAAGAUAAGUCAGAGGUGAAAUCCCGGGGCUCAACUCCGGCACUGCAUUUGAUACUGUUUGGCUUGAGUAUAGGUGAGGCAGGCGGAAUGUAUGGUGUAGCGGUGAAAUGCAUAGAGAUUAGGAAGAACACCGGUGGCGAAGGCAGCUUGCUAAACUACGACUGACGGUGAGGCGCGAAAGCGUGGGGAGCAAACAGGAUUAGAUACCCCUGUAGUC